GUAAAUUCAAGCUUUGCUUGGUGUUGGGUGUUUGUCUCUGCUAUGCAAAGACUCUCCCUAAAUACAUUGGCAGCCUAUGAAAUGGUUUGAAGCGCAGCACAAUUGCAAUUCAGGCGAUAUUAUGGGCAUCCAGAAAGAUCAUUAUCAC
RNAcentral lists this unclassified non-coding RNA (148 nucleotides) under uncultured Phaeosphaeria. RNAcentral's name for it is "sequence contains ITS2". Lineage: Eukaryota; Fungi; Ascomycota; Dothideomycetes; Pleosporales; Phaeosphaeriaceae. The record is from RNAcentral.